Molecule: long non-coding RNA, 721 nt
Organism: Chinchilla lanigera (long-tailed chinchilla)
Lineage: Eukaryota; Metazoa; Chordata; Mammalia; Rodentia; Chinchillidae
Source: Ensembl
AUGGGCAAAGGGCCAAAAAUCGAAUGCAGUCUGGAGUCAAAGUACAAAUGCUGCUGGAGAGGAGGCUUGCAGUGUUUCAGGAUGGACACAUGGGCUCCACAGACUGGGAUGAAUGAGGGUCAGGGGUCACCAUGUUCCUGGAGUCCUAAGAAGAUGCUACCGAGACUGGAUGUCGAGGGCAAUCCGAGCAGCAGUGAAGAUCCAGAGCUAGAAAGCAAAAGGAGGAUUUUUGAAACAUUUAAGCUGCAAAUUUAUGUCUUUGCAUGGUUUGUCUUCACAUUUCAGCCAACGGUCUGUAGCCUAAAUGUUUGAGGUGAGAAAGACUAAUUUGAUGAUAACAGUCCUUCUCCUACUAGAGAAUAUGCGGGAGUUAAUGAACAACUGACUCAGACUGCUCUUCAUGUAAGAUUCAUCUGCCUUUUCCCCUUGUAAUAGCCCUUUCAAAACAAACUACAAUUUUUUGUAUCACGGAUAAGUUAUUUCUUCUUCAUUUGUGUUCUGAGCAAGUGCGCCAAAGGGCUAAGCAGUAUUCUGUUGAUGUGGAGGUGCUCACUAAUACUCUUGUGAGUAAAUGGAUUAGCUGGAAGAGAGAUUUGGAGAGCCAGGUUGGAUUGGACCUCACAGUGGUGGGGCAGGGGUUGUGAGGGAAAUGACAGCAUUAAUGAAUUCAAUUUUGUCUGCUCCCCUUGAGGUGAAUACGUCCUAGGGGGUUGGAUUAAUG